This 1840-nucleotide unclassified non-coding RNA is filed under the name Nilaparvata lugens (brown planthopper). Its description in RNAcentral is "solute carrier family 35 member E1 homolog, transcript variant X1". The record is from RNAcentral. Lineage: Eukaryota; Metazoa; Arthropoda; Insecta; Hemiptera; Delphacidae.
GACUGUCGACAAAUUAUUUUUGAAUGGCAUUCUGUGUCCUGUGUUGAUGGUGUUUUAUUUUUCUAAAAAUGGAUCAAAAGCGUUUUAAUAUUUUAGAGCAAGACUUUGGCAACUUAAAAUAUAUUGGAUUUGUGCAAUAAUUCAGUACAAUUGCAACUAUUUAACGGUAAUUUUAAACUUGGCAGUUGAAAGUGAAAGUUACUGCACAUAACCUGUCUAUGUUCCGCUAGUUUACUUCUGCUAUUGAAGAUUGCCAGCUAAGCAUGGGUGUUACAAUGCAGACCCGAGAAAUAUUUACAAUAUUAGUGCUGUGUUUAUUGUGGUAUAUUGUUAGUUCAAGCAAUAAUGUAGUUGGAAAAAUGCUACUAAAUGACUUUCCUUAUCCAAUGACUGUCACAAUGGUGCAAUUGCUAUCAAUAACAGUUUAUUCGGGUCCCUUCUUCAAUAUGUGGGGCAUAAGGCGAUUUGUCGACAUAAGUUGGUCUUAUUAUUUAAAACUUAUCAUACCGCUUGCUUUUGGAAAGUUUAUGGCAUCGGUUUUUACACAUGUCAGCAUAUGGAAAGUGCCAGUUUCGUAUGCUCAUACAGUUAAAGCCACCAUGCCUCUAUUCACAGUAGUUCUAUCUCGCUUUAUCAUAGGAGAAAAGCAAACUGUCAAGGUUUAUUUAUCUCUGGUGCCUAUAAUUUUGGGAGUGGCAAUAGCCACCUUAACUGAGCUGUCGUUCGAUAUAACUGGUCUGCUUAGUGCCCUAGCUGCCACCCUACAGCACUCGUUGCAGAAUAUAUUCUCGAAAAAAGUUCUAGCUGAUACUGGCAUUCACCAUCUAAGGCUGCUGCAUAUGCUGGGCAGAUUAUCGUUGAUGCUAUUCUUGCCAAUUUGGAUGUAUUUCGAUCUGCAGCAUGUCUACAAUCGAUCAAUUCUGGCGACAGAAGAACGCGGCCAUAUUUUGGCCCUACUCUUCACCGACGGCGUUCUGAACUGGCUGCAGAACAUCUUGGCAUUCAGCGUGAUGUCGCUGGUGACGUCACUCACCUACGCGGUGGCAUCGGCGUCGAAACGCAUCUUUGUGAUUGGCGCAUCGCUGCUCAUACUCGGCAACCCUGUUACGCUGACCAAUAUGGCCGGCAUGGGUCUGGCUAUUGUUGGCGUCUUGAGCUACAAUAAGGCGAAAUACGAUGCCAGAGAAUCGAGUAAAAGGAAAACUGUGCUACCAUUUACCAACGAAAGCCUGUGGAAAAGCGGCAGCAAUUCGAUACCCUACCGACCUCUGGAAAAUUCCAACGGCUCAACAAUCAUCAACAACAACAGUAAAUUGGCGCAAUUUGUUUGAAGAAAAUUGUCGACAUUUUUUAGGUUUUGCACCGAUUUUUUGGUGAUUCACUACUAGUUGAAUACUGAUGAUCAGUGUCUACUUGAGGAUUAUAGGAAAAAUGUCAAUGAUUCAUUGUGUAAUUGAAAUGCCAAGUGCCCUAUCUUGUUUUGAUCUAUCCAAGAAGGAGAAGUUGGGGUUGAUCUGAUGAAGGUAAAGAAGAAGGGGGUGAAGGAGAAUUAGAAGAUGAAUAUGAGAAUGAGAACAAGAAAACUGUCGGCCAGAAAUCCUUUGAAGAAAUUUUCUCGUAUGAUAUUAUAUUUAGGAAACGUAACAUACAUUCAAUUAAUGUGAUUUGAAGUAAAUCAGAAAGGCUGUUUUAAAACUCAAAUUUUAUGACAUUUUCUUAUACUUUGUUUUUCCACUUAGGUAUCCAUAAUUCUGUUUGAUUUUUCCUUUUUGACUGAAAUUAAAAUCUAUGGUUUUGAAGUUGAGACUGGAAAUUAAAGUUACAAAAUGCUUUACAUUUA